UCCCUUUUCCAGUACAUAAGCCUGAUGGCUGGGUGUUAACACGCAUAUGUGAUAUGUGCCUCCCUUAAAUCUUAUUACACAUUUGGCACAUUACCCAUCUGAUG
Sorex araneus (European shrew) is the source of this 104-nucleotide small nucleolar RNA. NCBI's taxonomy places the organism in Eukaryota, Metazoa, Chordata, Mammalia, Eulipotyphla, Soricidae. The record is from Ensembl.